Molecule: ribosomal RNA, 451 nt
Filed under: uncultured bacterium
Lineage: Bacteria
Description: bacterial SSU rRNA
Rfam family: Bacterial small subunit ribosomal RNA
Source: RNAcentral
UACGGGAGGCAGCAGGGAGGAAUAUUGGACAAUGGGUGGAAGCCUGAUCCAGCCAUCCCGCGUGAAGGAAUAAGGGCCUAUGGCUUGUAAACUUCUUUUGUACAGGGAUAAACCUACCCUCGUGAGGGUAGCUGAAGGUACUGUACGAAUAAGCACCGGCUAACUCCGUGCCAGCAGCCGCGGUAAUACGGAGGGUGCAAGCGUUAUCCGGAUUUAUUGGGUUUAAAGGGUCCGUAGGCGGGCUUAUAAGUCAGUGGUGAAAGCCGGCAGCUUAACUGUCGAACUGCCAUUGAUACUGUAAGUCUUGAGUAUAUUUUGAGGUAGCUGGAAUAAGUAGUGUAGCGGUGAAAUGCAUAGAUAUUACUUAGAACACCAAUUGCGAAGGCAGGUUACCAAGUUAUAACUGACGCUGAUGGACGAAAGCGUGGGGAGCGAACAGGGAUUAGAUACC